This is a non-coding RNA of Picea glauca (white spruce), 121 nucleotides long. The record is from Rfam. NCBI's taxonomy places the organism in Eukaryota, Viridiplantae, Streptophyta, Pinopsida, Pinales, Pinaceae.
ACAUGCCUACAACAUAGCGUUAAUGUACUGGAUCCCAUUUGAACUCCACAAUUAAGCGCGCAUGGGCUAGAGUAUUACUAGGAUGGGUGACCGCCCGAGAAGUCCUACUAUUUUACAUGUC